Molecule: ribosomal RNA, 217 nt
Filed under: fungal sp.
Lineage: Eukaryota; Fungi
Description: partial small subunit ribosomal RNA
Rfam family: Eukaryotic small subunit ribosomal RNA
Source: RNAcentral
GGUGCCAGCAGCCGCGGUAAUUCCAGCUCCAAUAGCGUAUAUUAAAGUUGUUGCAGUUAAAAAGCUCGUAGUUGAAUUUUGGAGGUCAAUGGGUUGGUCGCCCUCGGUAGGUACUUGCCCGGCGGGUCCUUCCUUUUGGGGAACCGUGAUGCCCUCAUUUGGUGUCGUGGGGAACCAGGACUUUUACUUUGAAAAAAUUAGAUUUUAAAGCAGGCAA